GCGGUCGGCGAUCCAGAGCUCGACGGCCUGGAAGGCGACCUCGAACUGGUCGCAGGGGAUGGCUUCGCAGUUGGGGUAGGCGCGGCCCGCGGCAGCCUCGCUGUAGGCGCCGGGGACGCCUUGGUAGGCGACGCGGAGGCUGGAGCCGUGCAUGGGAGCGGGGGCGAGGUCGGCAAUGGUGAGGGGGCGGGGGAGGUUAGAAAUGGGGACUAGUCCCAAAUCCGAGGGUGCAAUAUGGCCGUUGAGGGCAGGAACGGGAACUAAUUUGUUGUUAUUUUCUUCAGGCUGGUGAUGGGAGAUGGCGGACUUGCUGGAAAGGAUGGCGCAGGUGCUCUGCCAGUCGGCGCGGCUGGGGCCGACUGCGCCGGGGAGGAACUGAGGGGCGGAGCAGGUGAUGUUGGUUGGCUUGAAAGCGAUCGUGGGGUAGGCCAUGGAAGCCAUUGAAUUGAAUUGAUUUGAAGUCAAAUAGAGAUGAAG
Molecule: unclassified non-coding RNA, 477 nt
Filed under: Hevea brasiliensis (rubber tree)
Lineage: Eukaryota; Viridiplantae; Streptophyta; Magnoliopsida; Malpighiales; Euphorbiaceae
Source: RNAcentral